GUGCUCGCUUUGGCAGCACAGAUACUAAAAUUGAAAUGAUACAGAGAAGAUUAGCAUAGCUCCUGUGUAAGGAUGACACAUAAGGGUGCCUCGGUGGCUCAGAUGGUU
Molecule: small nuclear RNA, 108 nt
Organism: Leptonychotes weddellii (Weddell seal)
Lineage: Eukaryota; Metazoa; Chordata; Mammalia; Carnivora; Phocidae
Source: RefSeq, a predicted model, not a curated record